RNAcentral lists this ribosomal RNA (388 nucleotides) under uncultured bacterium. Its description in RNAcentral is "bacterial SSU rRNA". It matches the Rfam family "Bacterial small subunit ribosomal RNA", at positions 28 to 417 of the family's 1533-position model. The record is from RNAcentral.
GACGAACGCUGGCGGCGUGCUUAACACAUGCAAGUCGAGCGGUAAGGCCCUUUCGGGGGUACACGAGCGGCGAACGGGUGAGUAACACGUGGGUGACCUGCCCUCAGCUCUGGGAUAAGCCUGGGAAACCGGGUCUAAUACUGGAUAUGACUCCAUGACGCAUGUUGUGGGGUGGAAAGCCUUGUGCGGCUGAGGAUGGGCCCGCGGCCUAUCUGCUUGUUGGUGGGGUGAUGGCCUACCAAGGCGACGACGGGUAGCCGGCCUGAGAGGGCGACCGGCCACACUGGGACUGAGACACGGCCCAGACUCCUACGGGAGGCAGCAGUGGGGAAUCUUGCGCAAUGGGCGAAAGCCUGACGCAGCGACGCCGCGUGAGGGAUGACGGCCU